RNAcentral lists this ribosomal RNA (2688 nucleotides) under Clostridioides difficile. RNAcentral describes it as "bacterial LSU rRNA". It matches the Rfam family "Bacterial large subunit ribosomal RNA". The record is from RNAcentral. Lineage: Bacteria; Bacillati; Bacillota; Clostridia; Peptostreptococcales; Peptostreptococcaceae.
AGGGUGCAGGGCGGAUGCCUUGGCACUAGGAGCCGAUGAAGGACGUGAUAAGCUGCGAUAAGCUUCGGGGAGUUGCACGUAAACUUUGAUCCGAAGAUUUCCGAAUGAGGAAACUCACUUAGAGUAAUGUCUAAGUAUCAUUAAGUGAAUACAUAGCUUAAUGAGGGGAACUCAGGGAACUGAAACAUCUAAGUACCUGAAGGAAGAGAAAGAAAUUCGAUUCCGUAAGUAGCGGCGAGCGAACGCGGAUUAGCCCAAACCAAUAAAGUUUUCUUUAUUGGGGUUGCGGACAUAUCAUAACGAAGAGGUAUCGUAAUUGAAGAGGUUUGGAAAGACCCACCACAGAAGGUAAUAGUCCUGUAUGUUAAACGAGAAGACUUCAGAUAUGAUCCAGAGUACCACGGGACACGUGAAACCCUGUGGGAAGCAGGAGGGACCACCCUCCAAGGCUAAAUACUACCUAGUGACCGAUAGCGUAUAGUACCGUGAGGGAAAGGUGAAAAGAACCCCGGGAGGGGAGUGAAAUAGAACCUGAAACCCUGCACUUACAAGCUGUGGAAGCACAUUUCUUGUGUGACCGCGUACUUUUUGUAGAACGGGCCAACGAGUUACGUUAAGUAGCAAGGUUAAGCACUUAAGGUGCGGAGCCGUAGCGAAAGCGAGUUUUAACUGAGCGUUCAGUUACUUGACGUAGACCCGAAACCGGGCGACCUACCCAUGAGCAGGAUGAAGCGAAAGUAAAAUUUCGUGGAGGUCCGAACCCACGAGCGUUGAAAAGCUCGGGGAUGACUUGUGGGUAGCGGUGAAAUUCCAAUCGAGCCCGGAGAUAGCUGGUUCUCCCCGAAAUAGCUUUAGGGCUAGCCUCAAGGUGAGAGAUACGGAGGUAGAGCACUGAAUGUCCUAGGGGGUAUUGCACCUACCGAAGACUAUCAAACUCCGAAUGCCGUCAUCUUAUACUUGGGAGUCAGACUGUGGGUGAUAAGAUUCAUAGUCGAAAGGGCAACAGCCCAGAUCGUCAGCUAAGGUCCCUAAAUGUAAGUUAAGUGGUAAAGGAUGUGGGAUUGCACAGACAACCAGGAUGUUGGCUUAGAAGCAGCCACUCAUUCAAAGAGUGCGUAAUAGCUCACUGGUCGAGUGAUCCUGCGCCGAAGAUUUCCGGGGCUAAAACUUACUACCGAAGCUACGGCAUCAGUAAUGAUGGGUAGGGGAGCUUCCCAUACGGGUUGAAGCAUGACCGUAAGGACAUGUGGACAGUAUGGGAGUGAGAAUGUUGGCAUGAGUAGCGAGAUGUGGGUGAGAAUCCCACAGGCCGUAAACCCAAGGUUUCCAGGGGAAGGUUCGUCCGCCCUGGGUUAGUCGGGACCUAAGCUGAGGCCGAAAGGCGUAGGUGAUGGACAACAGGUUGAUAUUCCUGUACUACCGAUAACCGUUUGAGAGAAGGGAUGACACAGUAGGAUAAGCUAAGCACACUGUUGGUUAUGUGUGCCCAAGCAUUGAGGCAGUCAAAGUAGGCAAAUCCGCUUUGAUAAUGCUGGGAUGUGAUGGGGAGCGAAAUUUAGUAGCGAAGUAGCUGAUUUCACACUGUCAAGAAAAGUCUCUAUCGAGGUUAAAGGUACCCGUACCGCAAACCGACACAGGUGGGUGAGGAGAGUAUCCUAAGGCCAGCGAGAGAACUGUUGUUAAGGAACUCGGCAAAAUGACCCCGUAACUUAGGGAUAAGGGGUGCCACCAUCAGGUGGCCGCAGAGAAUAGGCCCAAGCGACUGUUUACCAAAAACAUAGGUUUCUGCUAAGUCGCAAGACGAUGUAUAGGAGCUGACGCCUGCCCGGUGCUGGAAGGUUAAGGGGAUCUGUUAGAGCAAUCGAAGCAGUGAACUUAAGCCCCAGUAAACGGCGGCCGUAACUAUAACGGUCCUAAGGUAGCGAAAUUCCUUGUCGGGUAAGUUCCGACCCGCACGAAAGGCGUAACGAUUUGGGCACUGUCUCAACAACAGACUCGGUGAAAUUGUAAUUCCGGUGAAGAUGCCGGAUACCUGCGACAGGACGGAAAGACCCCAUGGAGCUUUACUGUAGCUUGACAUUGGGUCUUGGUACUACAUGUACAGGAUAGGUGGGAGGCUUUGAAACCAGGACGCCAGUUUUGGCGGAGCCAUCCUUGGGAUACCACCCUUGUAGUACUGGGACUCUAACCAUAGGCCAUGAAUCUGGUCUUGGGACACUGUCAGGUGGGCAGUUUGACUGGGGCGGUCGCCUCCCAAAAGGUAACGGAGGCGCUCAAAGGUUCUCUCAGUACGGUCGGAAAUCGUACGUAGAGUGUAAAGGCAAAAGAGAGCUUGAUUGCAAGACAUACAGGUCGAGCAAGGAUGAAAAUCGGACUUAGUGAUCCGGUGGUUCUGCGUGGAAGGGCCAUCGCUCAACGGAUAAAAGCUACCCUGGGGAUAACAGGCUUAUCUCCCCCAAGAGUCCACAUCGACGGGGAGGUUUGGCACCUCGAUGUCGGCUCAUCACAUCCUGGGGCUGUAGUAGGUCCCAAGGGUUGGGCUGUUCGCCCAUUAAAGUGGUACGCGAGCUGGGUUCAGAACGUCGUGAGACAGUUCGGUCCCUAUCCGUCGCAGGCGUAGGAAAUUUGAGAAGACCUGUCCUUAGUACGAGAGGACCGGGAUGGACGUACCUCUGGUGUACCAGUUGU